GCCUGGCUGGCUCAGUUGGUAGAGCAUGUGACUUCUGAUCUCAGGCACAUGAGUUCAAACCCCAUGUUGGGCA
This is a transfer RNA of Felis catus (domestic cat), 73 nucleotides long. It matches the Rfam family "tRNA". Rfam says of the family: Transfer RNA (tRNA) molecules are approximately 80 nucleotides in length. Their secondary structure includes four short double-helical elements and three loops (D, anti-codon, and T loops). The record is from Rfam. NCBI's taxonomy places the organism in Eukaryota, Metazoa, Chordata, Mammalia, Carnivora, Felidae.